RNAcentral lists this ribosomal RNA (362 nucleotides) under uncultured Prevotella sp. RNAcentral's name for it is "bacterial SSU rRNA". It matches the Rfam family "Bacterial small subunit ribosomal RNA", at positions 354 to 711 of the family's 1533-position model. The record is from RNAcentral. Lineage: Bacteria; Pseudomonadati; Bacteroidota; Bacteroidia; Bacteroidales; Prevotellaceae.
UGAGGGAAUAUUUGGGGUCAAUGGGCGAGAGCCUGAACCAGCCAAGUAGCGUGUGGGACGAAUGCCCUAUGGGUUGUAAACCACUUUUGCAGGAGGGUAAAAUGCUUCACGUGUGGAGUAUUGCAAGUAUCCUGCGAAUAAGGACCGGCUAAUUCCGUGCCAGCAGCCGCGGUAAUACGGAAGGUCCGGGCGUUAUCCGGAUUUAUUGGGUUUAAAGGGAGCGUAGGCGGGGAGUCAAGUCAGUUGUGAAAGCCGCGGCCCAACCGUGGUCGUGCAGUUGAAACUGGUUCUCUUGAGUGCGCACGAGGACGGUGGAAUUCGUGGUGUAGCGGUGAAAUGCUUAGAUAUCACGAAGAACUCCG